RNAcentral lists this ribosomal RNA (238 nucleotides) under Glomeromycotina sp. Its description in RNAcentral is "partial small subunit ribosomal RNA". The stretch from base 40 to 238 matches the Rfam family "Eukaryotic small subunit ribosomal RNA", at positions 686 to 886 of the family's 1831-position model. Lineage: Eukaryota; Fungi; Glomeromycota. The record is from RNAcentral.
GGGUCAGUAGGUUGGUCGUGCCACCGGUACGUACUGGUCUCACUGAUUCCUCCUUCCUGAAGAACCGUAAUGCCAUUAAUCUGGUGUUGCUGGGAAACAGGACUGUUACUUUGAAAAAAUUAGAGUGUUUAAAGCAAGCUAACGCUUGAAUACAUUAGCAUGGAAUAAUGAAAUAGGACGAUCGAUCCUAUUUUGUUGGUUUCUAGGAUUGACGUAAUUAUUAAUAGGGAUAGUUGGU